GCAAACUUGGUCAUUUAGAGGAAGUAAAAGUCGUAACAAGGUUUCCGUAGGUGAACCUGCGGAAGGAUCAUUCAUAAUAAAAGUGUUUAUGGCACUUUUAAAACAAUCCAUAUCCACCUUGUGUGCAAUGUUUUCUUAAUAUUCAACACUUUAUUUUAUUUCUUUUGUCUGAAAUGUUUUAUGAAUUGUUACUUAAUUCAAAAAAUAUAACUUUCAACAACGGAUCUCUUGGCUCUCGCAUCGAUGAAGAACGCAGC
RNAcentral lists this unclassified non-coding RNA (257 nucleotides) under uncultured fungus. RNAcentral describes it as "partial contains small subunit ribosomal RNA, internal transcribed spacer 1, and 5.8S ribosomal RNA". The stretch from base 1 to 73 matches the Rfam family "Eukaryotic small subunit ribosomal RNA", at positions 1759 to 1831 of the family's 1831-position model. Lineage: Eukaryota; Fungi. The record is from RNAcentral.